AUUGAACGCUGGCGGCAUGCUUUACACAUGCAAGUCGAACGGCAGCGCGGGCUUCGGCCCGGCGGCGAGUGGCGAACGGGUGAGUAAUACAUCGGAACGUGCCCAGUCGUGGGGGAUAGCUCGGCGAAAGCCGGAAUAAUACCGCAUACGACCAGAGGGUGAAAGCGGGGGAUCUUCGGACCUCGCGCUAUUGGAGCGGCCGAUGGCUGUAUAGCUAGUUGGUGGGGUAAAGGCCUACCAAGGCGACGAUCUGUAGCUGGUCUGAGAGGACGACCAGCCACACUGGGACUGAGACACGGCCCAGACUCCUACGGGAGGCAGCAGUGGGGAAUUUUGGACAAUGGGCGAAAGCCUGAUCCAGCAAUGCCGCGUGUGUGAUGAAGGCCUUCGGGUUGUAAAGCACUUUUGGCGGGAACGAAAAGGACUGUGCCAAUACCACGGUUCGAUGACGGUACCCGCAGAAUAAGCACCGGCUAACUACGUG
This 484-nucleotide ribosomal RNA is filed under the name uncultured bacterium. RNAcentral's name for it is "partial 16S ribosomal RNA". It matches the Rfam family "Bacterial small subunit ribosomal RNA", at positions 29 to 507 of the family's 1533-position model. The record is from RNAcentral.